UUUGAAAUCAGCCCAACUUAGAAAUGAAGAGCCCUGCACAUACUCAAUCCACGAUCCCGUUCCUCUUGGUCCCCUUCUCUCUUUUUCCUGCAGCGGCCGCUGAGACGCAUAAUGAUGAUGUAGAUGUGGCUUAAAAUGAUCAUCGGUGGGGGCAGGACUGGCCUGUCAUGAAAUGUCAUAAUCAGCUGAUAUCGCUGGAACUUCCACACCUGGUUGGAUAUUGAUUUUACUUCAAAGAAGGCUCACGAUGUAGGAGAUGACGAUCCACUCCUGGAGGGACGGCCAGCCAUCCAUCCGCACCAGGAUGACGUAGUUAAACAGCAGCAGGUUGACACAUCUAAAAGAAUCUUUGUUUCCAACUGGACUGACUCAUUGAGAGGAAACCUUCACUGCACCUCACCAGUGCAGACAGAAGACCUGGAGGCAGGACGGGAGGCAUUUUAUACUUCAGCACGAUAUGGGCCCUGACUUUUCAUUUUCUACAUGGAGACAUAUUGAUCCUGCCUCCCAAGCCUAUAAGCUUUACCAGGAGAGAGGCAGGCCCCACCCCAAGAUCCACUAUCCACUCUUUGAAGAAAGAUUAGAGCCAUGUUCUCAGACUUUGGGCUGCAUCCUAAUCCCUGCGAAGCUGCACAAUGUGUGAUGACUCCACCCUCCACCCGAUCCAGAGGGUCUGGGGUGAGACCCAAGGCUGAGAGGCCUCGAUGGCUUCCUGGCCCCAUCUCCGGCAGCAGCCUCUAUGGCUGGGCUCUCCUGCAGGCUGGGUGCACCCCAGGCCCUCAGAUGGUUCUAACCAGAAUCGAUGGGCAGCAGUGACUUCGACUGUAUCAUCAAUCUUGGCUGCCACAAGGUUGGGUGUCCAGGCCCUCAGCUGACCCUUGAGAGAGCCACACUCUGGGAGCUGUGUAGACCCAGGGCCUCAGAGAGGGCUGGAGGAUGGCUUGCCAGCCAAGCGGGUCAGUUUGGUGAGCACUUCAGAAUGAGACGCCUUGAUUUGUUUCCCUAUUCCAAGAGUUUACCAUCUGGAUUUAGCCAUGCCCUUGUAAUGACCCCACCAAUUUCAUGAAAAAUGGAAUCUGUGAAUUUGCUCUUUAAAUCACUAGUCAUCUCUGUUCAUUUAAAAAUAAAAUUAUAGUUCCUUAA
This is a long non-coding RNA of Homo sapiens (human), 1143 nucleotides long. RefSeq annotates it as TRPM1 antisense RNA 1. The record is from RefSeq and is a predicted model, not a curated record. Lineage: Eukaryota; Metazoa; Chordata; Mammalia; Primates; Hominidae. The transcript has 5 exons.